AUGAAAAUUUGUAAAAAUAUGAUUUUUAGACCCAUAUGAAUAUUGUGACUGAUUGGUAGGCUAAAUGUGAUGUUAUAGAUGAUGAAAAUUGAGACUUGGACCUAGAACGGAAAGAAAUCGAUUUAUGGACGAGUAUGUCCUUUUCACAUUUGUGGUAUCGAGAGUUCCAGGUUAGCUCGGGUUAGAGGCCGUCGGAGAUAUUAUCACCCUAUCGAGUUAACGUUAUCGGAUAAGUAAACUCAAGUGAUUCGAGUCUAUGGCAUGUAUAGGGUUUUAAUGUGAGUAUGUAAUAUUAUGAUUUAGCCAAAGGCAUUGGCUUGUUAUUAAGGUAGUAUUAGUCAUGUAAAUUGGCCUAUGUCGGCUAAUGAAGUUAUGGGCCCAUAUGAUUAUUCUUAUGCAUUUAUGUUAUUAUUUCUUGUGAUGUGGCUUACAUGUAUGCCUAGAGAUUGAAUUGAGAUUCAUUGAUGAGCUAGUAACUAAUGCAGGAUUAAGUGAUUGGUAAAUA
This is a long non-coding RNA of Gossypium arboreum, 505 nucleotides long. RefSeq lists it as uncharacterized. Lineage: Eukaryota; Viridiplantae; Streptophyta; Magnoliopsida; Malvales; Malvaceae. The record is from RefSeq and is a predicted model, not a curated record. The transcript is spliced from 2 exons.